RNAcentral lists this unclassified non-coding RNA (600 nucleotides) under uncultured Thelephoraceae. RNAcentral's name for it is "sequence contains ITS1, 5.8S rRNA gene, ITS2". The stretch from base 214 to 368 matches the Rfam family "5.8S ribosomal RNA". The record is from RNAcentral. Lineage: Eukaryota; Fungi; Basidiomycota; Agaricomycetes; Thelephorales; Thelephoraceae.
GGAAGGAUCAUUAUCGAACUGUCGACACGAGCUGUUGCUGGCCCUCGAAAGGGGGCACGUGCACGCUCUGUUUACACAUCCACUCACACCUGUGCACCCUCUGUAGUUCUAUGGCCUCGGGGACCCCGUCUCCUUGCUGUGGUCCUACGUCUUUACACACACACCGUAACAAAGUCUCAUGGAAUGUAUGCCGCGUUUAACGCAAUACAAUACAACUUUCAGCAACGGAUCUCUUGGCUCUCGCAUCGAUGAAGAACGCAGCGAAAUGCGAUAAGUAAUGUGAAUUGCAGAAUUCAGUGAAUCAUCGAAUCUUUGAACGCACCUUGCGCCCUUUGGCUAUUCUGAAGGGCAUGCCUGUUUGAGUAUCAUGAACACCUCAACUCUCAUGGUCCGCCAUGAUGAGCUUGGACUUUGGGGGUCUUGCUGGCCUAGUGUCGGCUCCCUCUCAAAUGGAUCAGCUUGCCAGUGUUUGGUGGGCGUCACAGGUGUGAUAACUAUCUACACUUUGUGGUUUUCCCGCCAUGUAACCUUCAGUGAUGGAGGUUCGCUGGAGCUCACAGACGUCUCUCCUCGGGGGGACAGCUUUCUGAACGUUUGAUC